RNAcentral lists this unclassified non-coding RNA (320 nucleotides) under plant metagenome. RNAcentral's name for it is "partial contains 5.8S ribosomal RNA, internal transcribed spacer 2, and large subunit ribosomal RNA". The stretch from base 1 to 105 matches the Rfam family "5.8S ribosomal RNA", at positions 50 to 154 of the family's 154-position model. The record is from RNAcentral.
GAAAUGCGAUAAGUAAUGUGAAUUGCAGAAUUCAGUGAAUCAUCGAAUCUUUGAACGCACAUUCCGCCCGCCAGUAUUCUGGCGGGCAUGCCUGUUCGAGCGUCAUUACAACCCUCAGGCCCCCGGGCCUGGCGUUGGGGAUCGGCGGAAGCCCCCUGCGGGCACAACGCCGUCCCCCAAAUACAGUGGCGGUCCCGCCGCAGCUUCCAUUGCGUAGUAGCUAACACCUCGCAACUGGAGAGCGGCGCGGCCACGCCGUAAAACACCCAACUUCUGAAUGUUGACCUCGAAUCAGGUAGGAAUACCCGCUGAACUUAAGC